RNAcentral lists this ribosomal RNA (525 nucleotides) under uncultured bacterium. Its description in RNAcentral is "partial 16S ribosomal RNA". It matches the Rfam family "Bacterial small subunit ribosomal RNA", at positions 28 to 523 of the family's 1533-position model. The record is from RNAcentral.
GACGAACGCUGGCGGCGUGCCUAAUACAUGCAAGUCGAACGAAACUUUCUUACACCGAAUGCUUGCAUUCACCGUAAGAAGUUGAGUGGCGGACGGGUGAGUAACACGUGGGUAACCUGCCUAAAAGAAGGGGAUAACACUUGGAAACAGGUGCUAAUACCGUACAUCUCUAAGGAUCGCAUGAUCCUUAGAUGAAAGAUGGUUCUGCUAUCGCUUUUAGAUGGACCCGCGGCGUAUUAACUAGUUGGUGGGGUAACGGCCUACCAAGGUGAUGAUACGUAGCCGAAAUGAGAGGUUGAUCGGCACAUUGCAACUGAGACACGGCCCAAACUCCAACGGGAGGCAGCAGUAGGGAAUCUUCCACAAGGGACGCAAGUCUGAUGGAGCAACGCCGCGUGAGUGAAGAAGGUCUUCGGAUCGUAAAACUCUGUUGUUAGAGAAGAACACGAGUGAGAGUAACUGUUCAUUCGAUGACGGUAUCUAACCAGCAAGUCACGGCUAACUACGUGCCAGCAGCCGCCGUAA